AGUGGAGUGAUGAGUGCUGGAUAAAUUGCUAGCGGCGGACGGGUGCGUAACACGUGGGUAACCUGCCCCUAUCACUGGGAUAACACACUGAAAAGUGUGCUAAUACCAGAUAACAUAGGCUUUUGGCAUCAUUAGCUUAUCAAAGAAUUUCGGAUAGGGAUGGGCCCGCGUCUGAUUAGCUAGUUGGUGAGGUAACGGCUCACCAAGGCAACGAUCAGUAGCCGACCUGAGAGGGUGAUCGGCCACACUGGAACUGAGACACGGUCCAGACUCCUACGGGAGGCAGCAGUGGGGAAUAUUGCACAAUGGGCGAAAGCCUGAUGCAGCAACGCCGCGUGAGCGAUGAAGGCCUUCGGGUCGUAAAGCUCUGUCCUAUGGGAAGAUAAUGACGGUACCAUAGGAGGAAGCCCCGGCUAACUACGUGCCAGCAGCCGCGGUAAUACGUAGGGGGCAAGCGUUAUCCGGAAUUACUGGGCGUAAAGGGUGCGUAGGCGGUUUAUCAAGUCAGGGGUGAAAGGCUACGGCUCAACCGUAGUGAGCCUCUGAAACUGGUGAACUUGAGUGUAGGAGAGGAAAGUGGAAUUCCCAGUGUAGCGGUGAAAUGCGUAGAUAUUGGG
Molecule: ribosomal RNA, 617 nt
Filed under: uncultured bacterium
Lineage: Bacteria
Description: bacterial SSU rRNA
Rfam family: Bacterial small subunit ribosomal RNA
Source: RNAcentral